GCGAACGCUGGCGGCAGGCCUAACACAUGCAAGUCGAACGCAUCCUUCGGGAUGAGUGGCAGACGGGUGAGUAACACGUGGGAACGUACCUUUCGGUUCGGGAUAACUCAGGGAAACUUGAGCUAAUACCGUAUACGUCCGUAAGGAGAAAGAUUCAUCGCCCCUAGACGGGCCCGCGUCGGAUUAGGUAGUUGGUGGGGUAACGGCCUACCAAGCCUACGAUCCGUAGCUGAUCUGAGAGGAUGAUCAGCCACACUGGGACUGAGACACGGCCCAGACUCCUACGGGAGGCAGCAGUGGGGAAUCUUGGACAAUGGGCGCAAGCCUGAUCCAGCCAUGCCGCGUGAGUGAAGAAGGCCUUAGGGUUGUAAAGCUCUUUUACCAGGGACGAUAAUGACGGUACCUGGAGAAUAAGCCCCGGCAAACUUCGUGCCAGCCGCCGCGGUAAU
This 449-nucleotide ribosomal RNA is filed under the name uncultured bacterium. Its description in RNAcentral is "bacterial SSU rRNA". It matches the Rfam family "Bacterial small subunit ribosomal RNA", at positions 29 to 524 of the family's 1533-position model. The record is from RNAcentral.